Molecule: long non-coding RNA, 887 nt
Organism: Gigantopelta aegis
Lineage: Eukaryota; Metazoa; Mollusca; Gastropoda; Neomphalida; Peltospiridae
Exons: 5
Source: RefSeq, a predicted model, not a curated record
CGGUUGCGUGAACACAAGCAGACUUUCCAGUGGUUUUAACAUUCUUCAUUCAGUGACAUAACAAAAGAAUUGCAUACCCUCAGAUCAAACACUGCAAGCUGGCGAUGGAAACAUAUGUUUUAAUGAGAGGCCCAGCGUCUAGGUUCUGUUUAGACUACACACCUAGCAGUCACACAAAUGACACAAGCUGAUAUUGAAACCUUCAGAACUUCCAUAAGCUGAAACUGUCUACAUAUUACGACAAAACAAACGGCACUACGUUAAGGGUUACAAACAGAGCUGGAGAAAAGAUCGCUAUCUCAACAUGACUCAUCUCGUUAUUCUGGUAGUCAUGUUAAUCUCGGCUGUGUCCGUGGAAGGCAAUCCCACAUGUUCUAGCUGUCUGGUUGAAGGCACAAUGUAGGGAAUCAGGUUACUCGGAGACCUCCAACACCGCGGGAGGCAGACUGACGUGCGGGUGUAACGGGAAACUUUGGGAGUGUACUGUAGUGCCUAACCCAGUAUUUUACGGCGAUCCUUCAGGAUGUGCAGGAUGUAUGGUUGCUAACGAAUGUAAGCCAGUUGGCUACCAGAAACACAGACAGCUGGAGCACGGGAGGGAGAAGUGCACGUGUACCGGGAUCGUGGCAUGGUCGUGUACAGCUGUGGGUAUUCCACUCUUUAUAACCAGGAAACCCACCAUAGCGCCAACCACAGAAAUAGCGCCUUAGUUCGACAAAAGUGAUAUAUAGAUAGACAGACCAGAUAUGACGUGUGUUGAUGUACCAGUAACAUGCAACAUUCUUUGCUGUAUUUCACAAAUGGAUUGUUCAAUACAUUAAUAUAUGUAAAAUGUCUAUCUUGGUGAUUACGUUUGAAAUAACAACUAAUAAAACAACAUUUUCUCA